RNAcentral lists this ribosomal RNA (140 nucleotides) under uncultured Geobacter sp. RNAcentral's name for it is "partial 16S ribosomal RNA". It matches the Rfam family "Bacterial small subunit ribosomal RNA", at positions 355 to 486 of the family's 1533-position model. The record is from RNAcentral. Lineage: Bacteria; Pseudomonadati; Thermodesulfobacteriota; Desulfuromonadia; Geobacterales; Geobacteraceae.
UGGGGAAUUUUGCGCAAUGGGGGAAAGCCUGACGCAGCAACGCCGCGUGAGUGAUGAAGGCCUUCGGGUCGUAAAGCUCUGUCAGAGGGGAAGAAGUGUAUGCGGCCUAAUACCUCGUAUACUUGACGGUACCCUCAAAG